This 467-nucleotide ribosomal RNA is filed under the name uncultured bacterium. RNAcentral describes it as "partial 16S ribosomal RNA". It matches the Rfam family "Bacterial small subunit ribosomal RNA", at positions 29 to 507 of the family's 1533-position model. The record is from RNAcentral.
ACGAACGCUGGCGGCGUGCUUAACACAUGCCAGUCGAACGGAAAGGCCCUGCUUUUGUGGGGUGCUCGAGUGGCGAACGGGUGAGUAACACGUGAGUAACCUGCCCUUGACUUUGGGAUAACUUCAGGAAACUGGGGCUAAUACCGGAUAGGAGCUCCUGCUGCAUGGUGGGGGUUGGAAAGUUUCGGCGGUUGGGGAUGGACUCGCGGCUUAUCAGCUUGUUGGUGGGGUAGUGGCUUACCAAGGCUUUGACGGGUAGCCGGCCUGAGAGGGUGACCGGCCACAUUGGGACUGAGAUACGGCCCAGACUCCUACGGGAGGCAGCAGUGGGGAAUAUUGCACAAUGGGCGGAAGCCUGAUGCAGCACCGCCGCGUGCGGGAUGACGGCCUUCGGGUUGUAAACCGCUUUCGCCUGUGACGAAGCGUGAGUGACGGUAAUGGGUAAAGAAGCACCGGCUAACUACGUG